CUCGUAGGCGGUUUGUCGCGUCUGCCGUGAAAUCCUGGGGCUUAACUCUGGGCGUGCGGUGGGUACGGGCAGACUAGAGUGCGGUAGGGGAGACUGGAAUUCCUGGUGUAGCGGUGGAAUGCGCAGAUAUCAGGAGGAACACCGGUGGCGAAGGCGGGUCUCUGGGCCGUUACUGACGCUGAGGAGCGAAAGCAUGGGGAGCAACA
This 206-nucleotide ribosomal RNA is filed under the name uncultured bacterium. RNAcentral describes it as "partial 16S ribosomal RNA". It matches the Rfam family "Bacterial small subunit ribosomal RNA", at positions 568 to 773 of the family's 1533-position model. The record is from RNAcentral.